Molecule: ribosomal RNA, 593 nt
Filed under: Solicoccozyma aeria
Lineage: Eukaryota; Fungi; Basidiomycota; Tremellomycetes; Filobasidiales; Piskurozymaceae
Description: eukaryotic LSU rRNA
Rfam family: Eukaryotic large subunit ribosomal RNA
Source: RNAcentral
CAAUAAGCGGAGGAAAAGAAACUAACAAGAAUUCCCCUAGUAACGGCGAGUGAAGCGGGAAAAGCUCAAAUUUGAAAUCUGGCAGCCUCAGGUUGUCCGAGUUGUAAUCUAUAGAAACGUUUUCCGCGCCGGCCCAUGUACAAGUCCCUUGGAACAGGGCGUCAUAGAGGGUGAGAAUCCCGUCCUUGACACGGACCACCGGUGCUUUGUGAUACGUUUUCAACGAGUCGAGUUGUUUGGGAAUGCAGCUCAAAAUGGGUGGUAAAUUCCAUCUAAAGCUAAAUAUUGGCGAGAGACCGAUAGCGAACAAGUACCGUGAGGGAAAGAUGAAAAGCACUUUGGAAAGAGAGUUAAACAGUAUGUGAAAUUGUUGAAAGGGAAACGAUUGAAGUCAGUCGUGUCUAUUGGACUCAGCCGGUUCUGCCGGUGUACUUCCUUUAGAUGGGGUCAACAUCAGUUUUGAUCGCUGGAAAAGGGCGGGAGGAAUGUAGCACUCUCGGGUGAACUUAUAGCCUUCCGUCGUAUACAGUGGUUGGGACUGAGGAACGCAGCAUGCCUUUAUGGCCGGGGUUCGCCCACGAACAUGCUAGGAU